Non-coding RNA from Pelobates cultripes (western spadefoot toad), 133 nucleotides. NCBI's taxonomy places the organism in Eukaryota, Metazoa, Chordata, Amphibia, Anura, Pelobatidae. The record is from the annotation of a GenBank genome assembly.
UGGCAGAGUGAGGGGGUGACUAGGGACAGAGUGAGGGAGGGAGGGGGUCACUAGUGACAGAGUGAGGGAGGGGUGACUGUCACUAGUCACUCCCUCCCUCACUCUGUCCCUAGUCACCACCUCACUCUGUCCC